CAUGGGGUGGAUCAGGUGGCAGAUCGCCCGGCUGUGGACCGGGAAGGCGCCGGUUCGAGUCCGGCCCCCAUGUCCA
This 76-nucleotide transfer RNA is filed under the name Actinosynnema mirum DSM 43827. Its description in RNAcentral is "tRNA-His (GTG) (tRNA-His-GTG-1-1)". It matches the Rfam family "tRNA". From Rfam's summary of the family: Transfer RNA (tRNA) molecules are approximately 80 nucleotides in length. Their secondary structure includes four short double-helical elements and three loops (D, anti-codon, and T loops). Lineage: Bacteria; Bacillati; Actinomycetota; Actinomycetes; Pseudonocardiales; Pseudonocardiaceae. The record is from RNAcentral.